Molecule: ribosomal RNA, 228 nt
Filed under: uncultured bacterium
Lineage: Bacteria
Description: partial 16S ribosomal RNA
Rfam family: Bacterial small subunit ribosomal RNA
Source: RNAcentral
GUCACUGGCUCAGGAUGAACGCUAGCUACAGGCUUAACACAUGCAAGUCGAGGGGCAGCAUGUUGGUUGCUUGCAACCGAUGAUGGCGACCGGCGCACGGGUGAGUAACGCGUAUCCAACCUACCCUUGUCCAUCGGAUAACCCGUCGAAAGGCGGCCUAACACGAUAUGCGGUUCACAGCAGGCAUCUAACGUGAACGAAAUGUGAAGGAGAAGGAUGGGGAUGCGU